Long non-coding RNA from Sander lucioperca (pikeperch), 142 nucleotides. RefSeq lists it as uncharacterized. The record is from RefSeq and is a predicted model, not a curated record. The transcript is spliced from 3 exons. Lineage: Eukaryota; Metazoa; Chordata; Actinopteri; Perciformes; Percidae.
AGAAAUAAAGGUGCCUUGUCAUAACCACAUCCAUGACUACGGCUAAAGCUGAGAGGUGCUUCUCAACCUUGAAAAGAAUAAAAACUUUUCUCAGAAACACCAUGACCCAGGAGAGGCUGAAUGCACUGGCCAUGCUGUCCAU